This 422-nucleotide ribosomal RNA is filed under the name uncultured bacterium. Its description in RNAcentral is "bacterial SSU rRNA". It matches the Rfam family "Bacterial small subunit ribosomal RNA", at positions 355 to 774 of the family's 1533-position model. The record is from RNAcentral.
UAAGGAAUAUUGGACAAUGGAGGCAACUCUGAUCCAGCCAUGCCGCGUGAAGGAAUAAGGCCCUAUGGGUUGUAAACUUCUUUUAGACGGGACAAAACCCCUUUACGUGUAAAGGGUUGAUGGUACUGUCAGAAUAAGCAUCGGCUAACUUCGUGCCAGCAGCCGCGGUAAUACGAAGGAUGCAAGCGUUAUCCGGAAUUAUUGGGUUUAAAGGGUGCGUAGGCGGACUAAUAAGUCAGUGGUGAAAGCCUGCAGCUUAACUGCAGAAUUGCCAUUGAUACUGUUAGUCUUGAGUACAGUUGAGGUCGGCGGAAUGUGUCAUGUAGCGGUGAAAUGCUUAGAUAUGACACAGAACACCGAUUGCGAAGGCAGCUUGCUAAGCUGUAACUGACGCUGAGGCACGAAAGCGUGGGGAGCAAACA